GAUGAACGCUGGCGGCGUGCUUAACACAUGCAAGUCGAACGAUGAUGCACCGCUUGCGGUGUGGAUUAGUGGCGAACGGGUGAGUAACACGUGAGUAACCUGCCCUUGACUCUGGGAUAAGCCUGGGAAACUGGGUCUAAUACCGGAUAUGACCUUUCACCGCAUGGUGGGGGGUGGAAAGCUUUUGUGGUUUUGGAUGGACUCGCGGCCUAUCAGCUUGUUGGUGGGGUAAUGGCCUACCAAGGCGAUGACGGGUAGCCGGCCUGAGAGGGUGACCGACCACACGGGGACUGAGACACGGCCCAGACUCCUACGGGAGGCAGCAGUGGGGAAUAUUGCACAAUGGGCGGAAGCCUGAUGCAGCGACGCCGCGUGAGGGAUGACGGCCUUCGGGUUGUAAACCUCUUUCAGUAGGGGAGAAGCGAAAGUGACGGUACCUGCAGAAGAAGCGCCGGCUAACUACGUGCCAGCAGCCGCCGUAA
This 482-nucleotide ribosomal RNA is filed under the name uncultured bacterium. Its description in RNAcentral is "partial 16S ribosomal RNA". It matches the Rfam family "Bacterial small subunit ribosomal RNA", at positions 28 to 523 of the family's 1533-position model. The record is from RNAcentral.